This 1266-nucleotide ribosomal RNA is filed under the name metagenome. RNAcentral's name for it is "bacterial LSU rRNA". It matches the Rfam family "Bacterial large subunit ribosomal RNA", at positions 1639 to 2925 of the family's 2925-position model. The record is from RNAcentral.
UGCCUGUACCAUAACCGACACAGGUGGGUAAGUAGAGUAUACUAAGGGGCGCGAGAUAACUCUCUCUAAGGAACUCGGCAAAAUAACUCCGUAACUUCGGGAGAAGGAGUGCCUUAUUCUUAAGGUUGCAAUAACAAGAUCCAAGCAACUGUUUAUCAAAAACACAGGUCUCCGCUAAGUCGUAAGACGAUGUAUGGGGGCUGACGCCUGCCCAGUGCCAGAAGGUUAAAGAAGUCGGUUAGCAAUAGCAAAGCUGGUAACUGAAGCCCUGGUGAACGGCGGCCGUAACGAUAACGGUCCUAAGGUAGCGAAAUUCCUUGUCGGGUAAGUUCCGACCCGCACGAAAGGCGUAAUGAUUUGGAUGCUGUCUCGGAGAGGGGCUCGGUGAAAUAGACUUGUCUGUGAAGAUGCGGACUACCUGCACCAGGACAGAAAGACCCUAUGAAGCUUUACUGUAACUUGAAAUUGAAAUUGGACUUUAUUCGCGCAGUAUAGGUGGGAGGCGUUGAUUAUAAUCUUGUGGGAUUAUUGGAGCCAUCAGUGAGAUACCACUCUUGUAAUGUUAGAUUUCUAACUUUGAAUCAUUAUCUGGUCAAAGGACAGUUUCAGGCGGGCAGUUUGACUGGGGCGGUCGCCUCCUAAACGGUAACGGAGGCGUACAAAGGUUUCCUCUGAACGGUUAGAAAUCGUAUCUAGAGUGUAAAGGCAUAAGGAAGCUUGACUGUGAGACCUACAAGUCGAGCAGGGACGAAAGUCGGUCUUAGUGAUCUGACGGUACUGAGUGGAAAGGCCGUCACUCAACGGAUAAAAGUUACUCUAAGGAUAACAGGCUGAUCUCCCCCAAGAGUUCACAUCGACGGGGAGGUUUGGCACCUCGAUGUCGGCUCAUCGCAUCCUGGGGCGGUAGUACGUCCCAAGGGUUGGGCUGUUCGCCCAUGAAAGCGGUACGCGAGCUGGGUUCAGAACGUCGUGAGACAGUUCGGUCCAUAUCCGGUGUAGGCGCUAGAAUAUUGAGAGGAGCCUUCUUUAGUACGAGAGGACCGAGAAGGACAUACCUCUGGUGUACCAGUUAUCGUGCCAACGGUAAACGCUGGGUAGCUAUGUAUGGAGUGGAUAACCGCUGAAAGCAUCUAAGUGGGAAGCCCACCUCAAGAUAAGUAUUCUCAUCACGUAAGUGAGUAAGGUCACGGUAAGACUAACCGUUUGAUAGGCAUUAAGUGUAAGUACAGUAAUGUAUGUGCUGAGAUGUCCUAAUAGACCGAGGAC